Long non-coding RNA from Xenopus laevis (African clawed frog), 3993 nucleotides. RefSeq lists it as uncharacterized. The record is from RefSeq and is a predicted model, not a curated record. NCBI's taxonomy places the organism in Eukaryota, Metazoa, Chordata, Amphibia, Anura, Pipidae. The transcript has 4 exons.
GUGAGUUUUCCCUCCAAUUUGGCUUUAUAAGGGAGGGAACUGGUUAGAUCUGCCAUUUUGCCAGAGGCUGUGUAUGGCGAUACUUUCUGUAGCUCCCUGGUCUGGAAAGUAUAUAUUUGUUGGGUAUUAUCCUUAACAGGUAAGUGGGGAUGAUACUGCUUGUUGUAGGGGUGCAUGGUAAGUAUGCUUUUUUUAGGAUUGAUGUCCUUUAUUCCUUAGGUUUGAACAACAUUGGCUGUAGUUGAGGUUCAGCUUAUUCAUGUCAGUGAGGCUGUUGGUGUUUGUAUUACUCAUGUUUGAAAGUGUGUUGCUUGGCUUAGAUGUGUACAAGAGAAUGCUUAAUUAAUCUGGCUGUUUUUAAUUUUUUUUUUUAAUUACUGGUUUCUUUAGGGAAAGUCUUGCUAUGGAUUAGAUUUGGGGUUCUUUGUCCUUGAUGUGAGAGUGAAAGGUUAGAUCAAUUUUAUGUGAGUAUGCUGCCUAAUUUUGUCUUUUUAACAGAUCUUAAUCUUAUGUGGGAAAAUUCCAGCAGUGGAGGUGCUUCAGCCUUGCCAGGUAAGCUUGUGGUAUGGUUUGGGGGAUGAAGAGUUUUUUUUUUUUUCUUUUCCUUUGAUGUGCAGAACGUAUUCCUUCAUUCUUGGCAGGGCAGGUGAGUGGAAAUACUGGUUAUUUUUUUUAGGGGUACAGGAAACUAUGCACAAUUCUAUCAGAUUAGUAUGAAAAUGAAUUGCUUUAACAAUAUCUUUGUUUAAUAGGUGGGGUCAUCACUGGUUUUGAUAAAUUCCAACCAUGCAGGCCUCAAUGUUAGAGGUUAGUACAGAUGAUGGUAUCUGUGAUGGGGUGAGGAAAUGUGUUUGGAUGUGUAUUAUCAUUCUUCCUCCUCAGUGUCCUUGUACAGACUGGUCAUUUAUUUAGAAAAGCCUGACCAUGGAAGGAAAUUCAGCCUUGGUAGGUGAGUAAAGUUGCUGGUGCUUGUUUUGGGGGGUAUUAGAAAAAUAUCCAACUCACCUAUCUUUGUUAGGUUAGUGGUGAUGAUCUUAAUUUCAUAGAAUGGGCUUCAGGUGCACCCAGGUGCUUUUCAGUCUUUAUGGGUGAGUAGGAAUGCAGGUGCUUGCGAUUGGUUGUGGACAAAUGGAUGGUGGUGAUGCUGGGGUUUAUAACAUUAUGCAUAUUCUUUUGCAGGCUGGGCACACAGAGAAAAAUGCAUUUCAAGGCAAGGCAAAUCAACCUUUGUAAGUGAGUGUGCAUCCUUGUGGUUUUCAAUGGGUAAUAGGUUAUGCACAUCUAAACAAAUGUGUGCCACAAAUUAAUAAUUUUCCCUAAACCUUUAUUAUUCUUGGCCUAUGCUUGCAGGUAAGUGGUUUUGCUAGUACACGCAAUGCAGUGGUUUUGGUGGAGUGAUGGUACUUUAAAACACAUCUUUAACCUUGCUAACUGUUUUACAGGUUGAGCCUGGUGUAGGAAAAGUUAAGUAACAGAGCCAGGCGACCUUGUACUCUUGGAGCUUGUGAUGGGUAUGUAAACAGUGUGCAUGUAUUGUGAUUGUUUACAUUGGUUAUCUGUUAUCAGUGUUCCUGGCUAUGGAGAUGUCUAGCCACUGGGGUUCUUCAGGUUUGGCAGGUUAUUCAAAAGUCCUGUUUCUUUUGGUAGUUAUAUUGAUGGAUUGACAAAUCCAUUAUGAUGUUGUCCUUCUUAAGCCCAAGCAUCUGUUUUACAAGUUGAGGCAUUUUGUGGAAAGUGUUUAAGCUUUGGCAGGUGAGUGGGGAUGCUAGUGCUUCUGAGAAAAGGUGCUGUGAGAAGCUUCAAAUGGCUUUCUGUGUACAUGUGUAUACCACAGGUGAGUGGAAAUACUGGUUAUUUUGUUAGGGGUACAGGAAAAAACACCUAAUUCUGAUUCAUAUGAAAAUGUUUUACUUUAACAAUGUAUCUUUAUUUAAUAGGUUGGGUCACUGAUUUGGAUAAAUUCCAGCAAUGCAGGCCUCAGUGUUAGAGGUUAGUAUGGAUGAUGGUAUUUGUGAUGGGGUGAGGAAAUGUUUGGAUAUCAUUCAGUGUGACCAUGGAAGGAAAUUCAACCUUGGUAGGUGAGUAAAGUUGCUGCUUGUUUUGGAAAACAAGCCACCUCACCUACCAGCCUUGUUAGGUUAGUGGUAAUCUUAACUUCAUAGUAUGGACUUCAGGUGGACCCAGCUGCUCUUCAGUAUUCAUGGGUGAGUAGGAAUCCAGGUGCUUGAGAUUGGUUUUGGACAAAUGGAUGGUGUUUAUUUUGUAGUUUAUAUUAUGCAUUUUCUUUUGCAGGCUGGGCACAUGGAGCAAAAUGCAGUUCAAGAGGCAAAUCAACCUUUGUAGGUGAAUGAAUAGAUAUUAGGUCAUGCACAUCUAAACGUUUGCCACAAAUUACAGAUUAAUCAUGUUUCCUAAACCUUUAUUAUUCUCUGCCUAUGCUUGCAGGUGAGUGGUUUUGCUGGCAUACUCAAUGUAGUGGUUGGGGUGCAGUGAUGGUACUUUAAAACACAUCUUUCAACCUUGCUACCUUUGUUUUACAGGUUAGGCCCUGGUGUAGGAAAAGUUAAGUAACAGCCAGGCGAUCUUGUACUCUUGGAGCUUGUGAUGGGUAUGUAAACAGUGUGCAUGUAUCGUGAUUUUUACAUUGGUUAUCUAUUAUAGGUGUUCCUGGCUAUGGAAACAUCUAGCCACUGGGGUUCUUCAGGCUUGGCAGGUUAUUCAAAAGUCCUGUUUCUUCUGUUAGUUAAAUUGAUGGAUGGUCAAAUCCAUUAUGAUGUUUGUCAUUCUUUAGCCCAAGCAUCUUUGUUUUAUAGGUUGAGGCAUUUUGUGGUAAGUGUUUGAGCUUUGGCAGGUGAGUGGGGAUUCUAGUUCUUCUGUGUGAAAACGUAUAAACUGCUUUCAUGUGUACAUGUGUAAUGCUUUACCAUUUUUUCUUAACCUUGGUAAAUUUUGUCCUAGCUUUCAAUAUAUCUACAAUUAACAAAUGUUUCUUAUAUAAAAAAUAUAUGAUGCUGUGUAGACACUUAGUAUAAACAACCAACUAAUUUAUGGUACCUCACUGCUUGAGUAAUUUUUGGCAUGUUUGGGAAAGGUGUGAUCUGUUGCUUUGUAUGUAAUGUACAUAUAUAGCGUUAGCCUGGAUUUAUUUUUAUAGCUUGUGAUUGGAAAAAGACAGGUUGUUGUGGCAAUUUAGGUAAGUGGAAAUGAAAGGGAUAAAAUAAGUUUUGCUUUUUUUUUUAUAUGGGCUCUUUGUUUUAUAGAUUUGACUUUUUGGGACAUGCCAGUGAGUAUCUUCAACUGUGGUUGGUGAAAGUGGUAUUUGUGCUUGUAUUUGAUGAAAGGGUGAGACUUGUUUGUUUUUGUUUGUGCUUUUGACAAGUGCAGUGAAGGGGGAACUUUAUUCUGAACAGGUGAGUGAUGCAGAUGUUUGAAGAGUUGUUGGAUGGACAAUCUAUUGCCUUUUUCAGCCCUGGCAUCUUUGUUUUACAGGUUAUAAAUGCCUGCACUUUAGCCUUGGCAGAAAUGUAAGUUUCGGGAAAUGUCUGCUCAGUGUUGUACUUCAUCUUCUGUGUAUAACCUGUGAUCUUGUUUCGACUGGUGUCUUAACUCAUGCUUUAGAGCAAGGAAUUCUGGCAGAGGAGGACCUUCAGCCUUGGAAGAUUAGGAACUGGUUUGGGAACAUCUCGCCUUUCCGGUGUCUCCUUAUAAUGAUGCCCCACCAACUCUGCACCUGUCUAGUCUACACCUAGCUCCAUCUCAAGUGGAUGUGGAACCCGACAUUUCCUUUCACCCUGCCAUAUCAAGUUGGACAUUGAAUUAGAAUUGUAAAAUGUUUGCUUUUAUUAAAUACAUUUUAAAUUUCAAUUAAAUGCAUUUUUAUUCAUUUAAGUGGGCUUCUACAGACAUAUUAGUUAAAUAUUUUCUGAGGUCUAAUGUAAAAAGUCUUAGAAAUUAACAUACUAACUAACUUUCUGAAAUAACUGACCCAUUAAC